This 265-nucleotide ribosomal RNA is filed under the name uncultured archaeon. RNAcentral's name for it is "partial 16S ribosomal RNA". It matches the Rfam family "Archaeal small subunit ribosomal RNA", at positions 716 to 982 of the family's 1478-position model. The record is from RNAcentral.
AGUCACUGACAUUAGAUACCCGCGUAGUCCCAGCCGUAAACUAUGCGCGUUAGGUGUACUGGUGACCACGAGUCACCGGGGUGCCGAAGGGAAACCGUGAAACGUGCCGCCUGGGAAGUACGGUCGCAAGGCUGAAACUUAAAGGAAUUGGCGGGGGAGCACAACAACGGGUGGAGCUUGCGGUUUAAUUGGAUUCAACGCCGGAAAUCUUACCGGGACCGACAGCAACAUGAAGGCCAAGCUGAAGACUUUGCCGGAUUAGCUG